This 75-nucleotide transfer RNA is filed under the name bacterium. RNAcentral describes it as "tRNA-Asn". It matches the Rfam family "tRNA". From Rfam's summary of the family: Transfer RNA (tRNA) molecules are approximately 80 nucleotides in length. Their secondary structure includes four short double-helical elements and three loops (D, anti-codon, and T loops). Further hydrogen bonds mediate the characteristic L-shaped molecular structure. tRNAs have two regions of fundamental functional importance: the anti-codon, which is responsible for specific mRNA codon recognition, and the 3' end, to which the tRNAs corresponding amino acid is attached (by aminoacyl-tRNA synthetases). tRNAs cope with the degeneracy of the genetic code in two manners: having more than one tRNA (with a specific anti-codon) for a particular amino acid; and 'wobble' base-pairing, i.e. permitting non-standard base-pairing at the 3rd anti-codon position. The record is from RNAcentral.
UCCGGAGUAGCUCAAUGGUAGAGCAUUCGACUGUUAAUCGAAGGGUUGUCGGUUCAAAUCCGACCUCCGGAGCCA